Long non-coding RNA from Passer domesticus (house sparrow), 5128 nucleotides. RefSeq lists it as uncharacterized. Lineage: Eukaryota; Metazoa; Chordata; Aves; Passeriformes; Passeridae. The record is from RefSeq and is a predicted model, not a curated record. The transcript has 16 exons.
GGCAUUUGUAUUCCCAAGUCAGUGUUGCAUGUGGUGAGGUCCUGUUGUCCUGGAGGUGGCUGUACUCCUGCCUGCCCAUUGGAAGCAGUGAAUCCUGCUGUCAUGUGAGUGACUGUGUGGGGUUUGGCUGCUGGCUGGGGUUAAACCACAAGAGUCAUAGUCUGAAGAGUCUGUCCUGGAAGAUCUACAGAGAUGGAAAAGGGACUUGAUAUCCAAAGAUGGAAAUGGAUGGUGAAAACUGACGCUCUGAUGAACAAGAAAUACAACAGAUGGUUAUUACGUGACCUGGUUGUCAGGUGGUUCUUGGCUCCUUAGAAGCCCAGAUCACUUCAAGGAGAGCAGCCAUUUGUUCCUGAUGUUGAGCACUACACAAUCUUCCUGUACCAUCCCCUUCUAUUUUAAAAGGAAAUGAAAAGGCAAUGAAAUGAAAGAAACUAUGAUCAUGGAAGUUUUUGCCAGCAGCAGAAACAAUAUGCCCAGGGGUUUCUGACAUGUACAUAUUCUCUCUAAUAUAAAAGAUUAAAAACUCAGACCAAAGCAAGUCAAAGAAUUUUGAGGAUUCCUUCAGAUAAAAAGAACCACCUGGCUUUCUCAUAUAUUGAGAAAAUUUUAUUGAGCAAAUUUGCAGCCUAGAAAACAAUGAUCCAAGAAGUUAACUAUCUGUCAUUGUUAAUCCCAUGCAACAUGAUCUGUAACAGAAGAGAAGCCAGAAGAUUACUCUGAAAGUUGUAUGACAGACAGAAACUGAUGUUAAAAGAAAUCCACAAUUGUCAGUCACAUGCAUGAAUCCCACUGCUGGAAGUUUUUCAGUAAAUCAGCAUCUUUGGACCCACGUGCAAAUCCUCUGAGAGAGCCAUGCACCUGUGACUGAGCUGAUGGAGCAGCAACGCAGAGAGGGGGCCUGAGAUCAGCUCCCUAAACAAGCAGACCUCAGUGGCUGCUCCUGACCACCUCCUAGUCUGACUGAAUCCUUUCUCUGGCCCAGUAUGGCUUCUCCUGUGUGUGUGAUCACAGCCUGUCUAUACAGAAACUACCAUCCUGAGGUGUGAACCUUGAAAAGCUGAUUCAAGUACCAGAAACAACCUAAAUGUGGCAGAUCUGUGGUCCCUGCGCACUUGAAAAAGCCAGGUAAAUAUGUCUGCAGAGAUCUGGUUCCCACAUGACCGGGUUGUUUUCUUACUGAAGGCAGCUCAGGUGUAAAGCUUACACAGUAUCACUCCACUCUGCUGUAGUCUAGGAAGGAGGCAUCUCAUACAUGGGAUCUGACACAGCAAAGGACAGCAUUUGGGCUCUGGGUUACAACUGCCAGCUGCUUCCUUCUUUGCCUCUUUUCUCCUCUUCCUGUGUUUGUUUUGGUUUAUGUUUGUGUUUGCUUAGGCAACAAACUUAAGCACAACUCUGAGAUGUCCUCUCCUCCCUCCCAGUUUGGCAAAUUACCAGAAGCCUACACACAGAGCAGCCUACAGGGAAGGAAGAGCAUGCAGAGUGCUGGGAGUCCAAGGGGCUCCCAUUGGAGAUCAUGGCUUCCUUCCUCAUCCUGCUCAAGUCUGCCUUCAAAUGUUACCAUGGUGGUUGUCUUUUCAAAUAUGAAUGGUCCUUCCAUUUCCUUCUCUUGCCUUGCGCCCACAAAUUUUAGCAGGAGCUUUUUUGAAAAAGCACUCUCAUCACAGUUCCUGUACUGCCUCCUGCAUGCAGGCAGAAAGUGAGGAUGGAGAUAAAAAAAUAAGGGAAAUCAAAGAACAUCUAACAAUUCUGAACAUACAUUUCCUCAAAAAAUUAUUGAAAAAAUACCAUUUGGCAACUCGAUGAACCUAGUGUUAUCUUUUUUUUUUUUCCCAAGCUAGGUUUCUUUUUGUUUAGCCUUCCUAUCUGGGUAGCUUUUAACAAAUUCAGCUGUCACUUUCUAUAUGAGUGAGAACAUUUUUAGUUCUUUGGAUCAAGCUGGCAAGAAGUGAGCAGUAGUGUGAGACCAUCAGCAGGUGCGUGGGAGACAGCAGCAAUUUGGGAAGCCUGGAAGAGUGCUGGUGAGGGAAAUCAAUGUUCAAGAAGCAUAGUAAAAAUCUUUCUGGUCAUAAGAGGUAUUGCUGGAACAACUGUGCUGCUGAGAGCAUAAUUUGCUUUUCUCUUCUUCAGCAGUUUCUGAUCUUUGUAUGUUAUCUCUAGGAUUUAAAGACAGUUUCCUUUUUUCAAUGCAUUUGGAAAUAUUAAUCUUUGGAUUGAAGUAGAAAUUUUAGCCAUAGUUCCUGAGGGCCACAUAUUUAACAUCUGUUUAAAAGCAAGCAGGAGAGCAAUUUUUUGAAUCUCAUACUACAUCCGGAUCAAAAAGUCACUGCAAAAAGGAGCAUUGUAACAAGAAAUACUCCAAUCAUGGAACAUUUCCAAGUAAAAUUUCCUAAUAAUUAUAUCUGCUAGACAUAAAAGCAGAUAAAUUAUAUUGAAUCAACUUGUACAUAAAUAUGAAAGCAGUAGAGGAAGUAUGGCAACAUGAGUCACCUACACACCAAAUAAUUAUUAACAUUCUUGUUGAUUUUGGUCUUAAGUGUCAGGGUGAUUCCCUGCUGUAAAAGCCCCAGUGAAUGCAUUUGUAUUAGCACUUAGCAGCAGAGGACUCUAAUCUGCCAAUUCCUAAAAAUGAAUGCAACAUUCUUGAGGAAACCAUGCUGGAACUGGCACUCUGGGUGAAAUUCUGAAGAGGAAAGUUUUCACUGCCUUUAAGAAGGCCAACAUUUGUUGACUGAUAACAACUAAUGACAGAAUGGAGAGUUUGAGUAUCAAAGACAUAGUUAAUGAAAGGUAUACUAAAGGGUUGAGUUGAAAAACACAUUAUAAUCAAAUGGGAAUUGUCUUAGCCUCAGGUCUGAUGUGCUUUUCAUAAUGCUGGUGUAGUCCUUUGUUAUUCAGUGUGUCAGGAUAAUCUACACUGGGAGUGAAAUUAGGAAUAUUACAGAGCAAAAGAGGCAAACCAGAAAAAGAAAUUUCAAACAAAUGCCUGGACUCCAGGAGGACACUGUCUGGCUGUCCUAAAGAGAAAGAGGUGUGCCAGAGGUAAGUAAAAGGGAAUUAUAUCAAAGAUGAAAGUCACAGAAAGAAGAGGUAAUGGGUAGGAUUCUCUUGUUUCCAAGUCAAACCACCUAAUUAUUUACAACAGAACAUUAAUUGUCCAUUAAACAUAGGUGCUGUGGAAAGUAACUAUAUAAGGAAAAAAGGUGUUUGAAUGAAAAUGUUUUUGCAGGGAGCACUUUCACCUUCCCGGUGAUAUGCAGGUUCUUAUUUUCUUGGUCCUUCUAUGGCUUCAUGAAAUCAUCCUAUAUUUCCUUAGUUAAAUGUUUGGAGGAAAAAUACUAAACAUUUUAUGUUCAUCCAUGCUACAGAAGGAACUUUCAGGUAUGAUUCUCUGCUUGAGGUAAGACAUGUAUCUGCCCUGUUUCAUACCAUAUUAUAAUCUAAGUACUAGGAAGAUGAAAGGGAUGUUAUUAUACUGAAACGAUAUAUUUUGUUUAUUUUAGAGUGUUUUUUUACUCUGUGCCUGGUCUGGAUGAACAUGAUUUUGAUAUAAUAUAAAAGAGGAAAAAAACAAAAUCACUGGAGUCAUAAGAAGAAUACUGUCUUCUGUUUUACUUGAAGAAGCAUUGUCAUUGAAGUUUCUUCUUUGUAAUAAGAUUAUUGAUCUUUUUUUUCUGUUCAGAUGCUACCAACUUAUGGUUGCAUGCCAUGGUAAAGACUAGGAGAAUAUUAAUAAUCAAUGGAGGAUACACAGAAGGAGAGUGUACUCCAAGGAGAGCAGAGCAAAACUAUAGCAUAAAGUGCCUGGAAAAAAUAGUCUCAUAAUUUUGGUAUGAACUUGUUUCCCUGCAGAAGAGGAGCUGAAGUGAAAAUCUGUCAACAAAAUCUGCAUUGCAUUUGAUAGCCUGUUCAGCUGCCUGCAGAGAGAAGACACAGUCCAGGAGACCUAGCAGCCAGAACUUCUAGAAAUGGCAUGCUGCCAGAGUCUGACAGAAAAUAACUUAAAAUACUAUCUACUGGUUCUAUAGCUAACAGGAUUGUUCCCAGACUUCAUAAGUGCAUACACAAAAAGAGACAGUUGUGAUAAAGGGUUAAUAUGCUGGGUGAAUACUUGUUUAUAUCUCUAUAUUGUUAGCACCAGGGUGUUGAUGAGCACAUAUUUAUCCAUAAGCCACUAAUUUACUGCCACUUUGCCCAUGGUGUUGGAGAACCUCAUUACUUCCCAGUAUCUGAUUGGGAGAAGCUGACCAGAAUUUUAACAGAAUCACGAGAGCACUACAAUGAGCUUCAUGCUGCAAUGAACCUGUUGUCUAAGGCUGCCACACAGCUCAUCAUGACCCACUGGCCUGCUACUGGUCAUGUCAAAUGUUCUGCAGAGCCCUGAGGAAGAUUCUGGUUUGAGCCAUCCAGCUUGCUUUAAACCUGCUCUAAAGACAAGAUCAUGUAAAGCUGAUGGUUUGUGUGAAGCUUCCAGAAGUGGCUUUAAUAUGACAACCUUCAUGGCAGGAUAAUAUUUCAUGUGGAACCUCAUGCUUAGAGGACUGAACUGGGAGAUUGUGGCUAAAGCUGUUAGAGAAGGGCAUAAGUCCUCAAUGACAACAUACAAGUGGCAAAGGGGUCAUUGUUUACAUUCACAUUUGAGGUAAAAUCCACUAGAGAUGAUCACUGGAGAAAGAAAUUCACAGAAGAUGAAUUGAGAAAAUGAGGUGCCUGUGGUGAAAUUCUGGGUAAAAGCACAAAAUUAACUGUCAUCCAAGCCAAAGAAGGCUAUCUGGAGACACUGGAAAAACCUUACUGGAAAAUUAAUCAAUGUGUCUUGCAUAAAACCUGGUUUUGUAAGGAGCUCACCAGAGUAGAGAUGCUAAUGGCAAGAGGCUCUGUAGACCUGACCAAGGCACCUUUCUGCAGGGCAAAGGAAGAGGUUGGACUUCUUUUUCAGAUUAAUUUCUUGAUUUGCAAGAUGUCUUAGUGUCAGGUUCCUACUUGAACCAGGUAGCGCAGAAUGUAUGGCAGUAGCAUUCAGGAUAGAGCACACUUGACUAACAGCCAGUGUCUGAUACACUUCCCUGUGUUGUGCUGGGAUGAACAGAGACAGCGAGAACCAAACCUUCACAGCCUCGGCAGC